UCCCUGGUGGCUCAGAUGGUAAAGAAUCUGCCUGCAAUGCAGGAGACCCGGGUUUGAUCCCUGGCUCAGGAA
This 72-nucleotide transfer RNA is filed under the name Bos taurus (domestic cattle). It matches the Rfam family "tRNA". Rfam says of the family: Transfer RNA (tRNA) molecules are approximately 80 nucleotides in length. RNAcentral also lists the same sequence under 3 other names. Lineage: Eukaryota; Metazoa; Chordata; Mammalia; Artiodactyla; Bovidae. The record is from Rfam by way of RNAcentral.